AUUGAACGCUGGCGGCAGGCCUAACACAUGCAAGUCGAGCGGAUGAAGGGAGCUUGCUCCUGGAUUCAGCGGCGGACGGGUGGGUAAUGCCUAGGAAUCUGCCUGGUAGUGGGGGAUAACGUCCGGACACGGGCGCUAAUACCGCAUACGUCCUGAGUGUGAAAGUGGGGGAUCUUCGGACAUCACGCUAUCUGAUGACCCUAGGUCGGAGUAGCUAGUUGGUGGGGUAAAGGCCUACCAAGGCGACGUUCCGUGACUGGUCUGAGAGGAUGAUCAGUCACACUGGAACUGAGACACGGUCCAGACUCCUACGGGAGGCAGCAGUGGGGAAUAUUGGGCAAUGGGCGAAAGCCUGAUCCAGCCAUGCCGCGUGUGUGAAGAAGGUCUUCGGAUUGUAAAGCACUUUAAGUUGGGAGGAAGGGCAGUAAGUUAAUACCUUGCUGUUUUGACGUUACCAACAGAAUAAGCACCGGCUAACUACGUG
This 484-nucleotide ribosomal RNA is filed under the name uncultured bacterium. Its description in RNAcentral is "partial 16S ribosomal RNA". It matches the Rfam family "Bacterial small subunit ribosomal RNA", at positions 30 to 507 of the family's 1533-position model. The record is from RNAcentral.